GAUGAACGCUGGCGGUGUGCCUUAAGCAUGCAAGUCGAGCGGGCCAAUCGCAAGAUUGGUCAGCGGCAGACGGGUGAGUAAUGCGUAGGAAUGUACCCCUUAAUGGAGGAUAGCCCAUCGAAAGAUGGGGUAAUACUCCGUAAUAUCCCCCUUAAAAGGGAUUAUAGUGCGUAACUGUACGUCAAGGGAGCAGCCUACGUCCCAUCAGCUAGUUGGUAGGGUAACGGCCUACCAAGGCGAUAACGGGUAGGGGGCCUGAGAGGAUGAUCCCCCACAAUGGCACUGAGACACGGCCCAGACUCCUACGGGAGGCAGCAGUGGGGAAUAUUGGACAGUGGGCGCAAGCCUGAUCCAGCCAUGCCGCGUGAGUGAUGAAGGCCCUAGGGCUGUAAAGCUCUUUCACCGGUGAAGAUAAUGACGGUAACCGGAGAAGAAGCCCCGGCUAACUUCGUGCCAGCAGCCGCGGUAA
Molecule: ribosomal RNA, 469 nt
Filed under: uncultured bacterium
Lineage: Bacteria
Description: partial 16S ribosomal RNA
Rfam family: Bacterial small subunit ribosomal RNA
Source: RNAcentral